GGUUCUGCUGGCUACUAUUGAUGAAGCUGCGAUCGUUUGUACCAUGGAGCAACCUGCUGUUUCCACCGUCAUUGAUUUUUCUAUCUGACUGCCCAUCAGGGAGUACCCACUAGAAUCUCUUCAGGAAGAGGGCAGAGAUUGAGAGAGAAAGAGACAGAGAAAACUCCCCUCUGCUGGAACUAACCAAUUCACAGACUCGGGAGCUGAACUCCAUGGACGUCUACCAUGCUGCCAGGAACUCAAGGUCAUGAGCCAUCUUCUGCCGCUUCUCAGAGUUUCAAAUAGCAGCAAACUGGAGUGGAACUAGAGGAUCUGGGACUUGAACCAGACCAUCGAUGGUUCUAAAAGCAACAGAUGUCAGCUCCCCGUUUUCCUCUCUCACACUAGAGGGACAAUUGGAGUUUGGACAG
This is a long non-coding RNA of Ochotona princeps (American pika), 410 nucleotides long. RefSeq lists it as uncharacterized. The transcript is spliced from 3 exons. NCBI's taxonomy places the organism in Eukaryota, Metazoa, Chordata, Mammalia, Lagomorpha, Ochotonidae. The record is from RefSeq and is a predicted model, not a curated record.